UUAAGUUCAGCGGGUAUUCCUACCUGAUCCGAGGUCAAACUUUCAGAAGUGGGGGGUUUAACGGCGUGGCCGCGCUGCGAUCCAGUGCGAGUGUUGCUACUACGCAGAGGAAGCUACAGCGAGACCGCCACUAGAUUUAGGGGACGGCGGGCGCCCGAGGGCGCCUGUGCCGAUCCCCAACACCAAGCUGGGCUUGAGGG
RNAcentral lists this unclassified non-coding RNA (200 nucleotides) under Nectria sp. (in: ascomycete fungi). RNAcentral describes it as "Nectria sp. (in: Fungi) partial internal transcribed spacer 2". The record is from RNAcentral. Lineage: Eukaryota; Fungi; Ascomycota; Sordariomycetes; Hypocreales; Nectriaceae.